RNAcentral lists this ribosomal RNA (238 nucleotides) under uncultured bacterium. RNAcentral describes it as "partial 16S ribosomal RNA". It matches the Rfam family "Bacterial small subunit ribosomal RNA", at positions 539 to 776 of the family's 1533-position model. The record is from RNAcentral.
CGUUGUCCGGAUUUCUUGGGCGUAAAGAGCUCGUAGGCGGUUUGUCGCGUCUGCCGUGAAAGUCCGGGGCUCAACUCCGGAUCUGCGGUGGGUACGGGCAGACUAGAGUGAUGUAGGGGAGACUGGAAUUCCUGGUGUAGCGGUGAAAUGCGCAGAUAUCAGGAGGAACACCGAUGGCGAAGGCAGGUCUCUGGGCAUUAACUGACGCUGAGGAGCGAAAGCAUGGGGAGCGAACAGG